CAAUAUUAAACUUUUUUUUAUCUAUGGGCCCAGUUAUCAAAUUGGUCCACAUUGAGGUCAAAAGGGUCCAAAAUUAAAGUUUGUUUGAUUUCAUCAAAAAUUUAAUUCUUUGGGUUCUUUGAUAUGCUGAAUCUAACGAUGUAUUUAGAUUUUGGAUAUUGGACCAUAAAAGGUAAAUGUCCAAUUUAAAAAAUUCAUUCAUUCUGUGUUAGAAACCUAUGCUGUAUCAAGCUUGAAUGUUGUGUCCAUACUUACCCCAACUGUUUAGGGUUUGGCGUCUGCAGUCGUAUCAAGCUGUGCCCGACAGAGCAUUUUAUUACUAAGUGUAUUUGUACAUUAUCAGUAUGAUUGACAACUGUCAUCAAGGAACAAUUAAAACAGAGUGACUUAAUAAUUGGAAUUCUAAAUAGACCCCUCCUCCUUAAUGCCAAUCAUAAUUCUCCAGACCACAUGACUAUUGGGCUUAUACAUAACAAGGCAGACUACUCAAUACAGGAACUUUGACCUUAUUAGUAUCAGACAAAUCUGACCUAUAUUUGUUGUUGAAGGCAGCC
Molecule: long non-coding RNA, 554 nt
Filed under: Mytilus galloprovincialis (Mediterranean mussel)
Lineage: Eukaryota; Metazoa; Mollusca; Bivalvia; Mytilida; Mytilidae
Source: RNAcentral